GAUGAACGCUAGCUACAGGCUUAACACAUGCAAGUCGAGGGGAAACGAUAUUGGAAGCUUGCUUCCGAUAGGCGUCGACCGGCGCACGGGUGAGUAACGCGUAUCCAACCUGCCCACCACUUGGGGAUAACCUUGCGAAAGUAAGACUAAUACCCAAUGAUAUCUCUAGAAGACAUCUGAAGGAGAUUAAAGAUUCAUCGGUGAUGGAUGGGGAUGCGUCUGAUUAGCUUGUUGGCGGGGUAACGGCCCACCAAGGCAACGAUCAGUAGGGGUUCUAAGAGGAAAGUCACCCACAUUGGAACUGAGACCCGGUCCAAACUCCUAAGGGAGGCAGCAGUGAGGAAUAUUGGUCAAUGGGCGAGAGCCUGAACCAGCCAAGUAGCGUGCAGGAUGACGGCCCUAUGGGUUGUAAACUGCUUUUAUAAGGGAAUAAAGUGAGUCUCGUGAGACUUUUUGCAUGUACCUUAUGAAUAAGGACCGGCUAAUUCCGUGCCAGCAGCCGCCGUAA
This 508-nucleotide ribosomal RNA is filed under the name uncultured bacterium. Its description in RNAcentral is "partial 16S ribosomal RNA". It matches the Rfam family "Bacterial small subunit ribosomal RNA", at positions 28 to 523 of the family's 1533-position model. The record is from RNAcentral.